Molecule: ribosomal RNA, 406 nt
Filed under: uncultured bacterium
Lineage: Bacteria
Description: partial 16S ribosomal RNA
Rfam family: Bacterial small subunit ribosomal RNA
Source: RNAcentral
AUUGAACGCUGGCGGCAGGCCUAACACAUGCAAGUCGAACGAGUGGCGGACGGGUGAGUAAUGUCUGGGAAACUGCCUGAUGGAGGGGGAUAACUACUGGAAACGGUAGCUAAUACCGCAUACCAUCGGAUGUGCCCAGAUGGGAUUAGCUAGGAGGUGGGGUAAAGGCUCACCUAGGCGACGAUCCCUAGCUGGGCUGAGAGGAGGACCAGCCCCACUGCAACUGAAACACGGUCCAGACUCCGACGGGAGGGAGGAGUGGGGUAUGUAGCACAAUGGGCGCGAGCCUGAUGCAGCCAUGCCGCGUGUGUGAAGAAGGCCUUCGGGUUGUAAAGCACUUUCAGCGAGGUGGCUUUACUCGAAGAAGAAGCACCGGCUAACUCCGUGCCAGCAGCCGCGGUAAUAC